CAGGGAGACAACAAAAUGUUAAAUAUUAAUUUUGUCACCUUAGGUCGAUCGGUAUCUCACAUUCUUAAAUUAAUUUAAGGAUUUUAUUUCCUAAGUUUUUUCUAGGUCACACCCAUUACUUUUUCCUGGGCCAUUAGCUCAGGUGGUUAGAGCGCACCCCUGAUAAGGGUGAGGUCCCUGGUUCAAGUCCAGGAUGGCCCAUAUCUCUAUGUUGGGGGUAUAGCUCAGUUGGUAGAGCGCCUGCUUUGCAAGCAGGAUGUCAGCGGUUCGAGUCCGCUUACCUCCACUGAUCACCACCUCUUCCAUAAUUUUAUAGAAGGGAAUUGUUUUGAGUUGUGAUCAAAUUCUGAACGAAUCUAGCUUCCUAAUCAAACUUAUUAAGAUGCUGGACUCAUUGAAUUUAUUUCAUUGUUUUCAGAGAACCUUGACAACUGCAUAGAUUAUUUUUAAAGACAAUAAGCAUCUUUAAUGAUGCAGAUUUAUUAUUUGUGCGAAUGCAUUAAUAACAAUUCUAUUAAGCUGAUGCUUCAAUUUUUGAAGUUAUU
This 545-nucleotide transfer RNA is filed under the name uncultured Prochlorococcus sp. RNAcentral's name for it is "partial 16S-23S ribosomal RNA intergenic spacer". The stretch from base 214 to 286 matches the Rfam family "tRNA". The record is from RNAcentral. Lineage: Bacteria; Bacillati; Cyanobacteriota; Cyanophyceae; Synechococcales; Prochlorococcaceae.